GACGAACGCUGGCGGCGUGCUUAACACAUGCAAGUCGAACGGUGAAGGGAUCAGCUUGCUGGUUCUGGAUGAGUGGCGAACGGGUGAGUAACACGUGAGUAACCUGCCCCCUUCUUCUGGAUAACCGCAUGAAAGUGUGGCUAAUACGGGAUAUUCUGCGCCUGCUGCAUGGUGGGUGUGGGAAAGAUAUUGUUUCGGUGGGGGAUGGGCUCGCGGCCUAUCAGCUUGUUGGUGGGGUGAUGGCCUAGCAAGGCGGUGACGGGUAGCCGGCCUGAGGGGGGGGACGGUCACACUGGGACUGAGACACAGACCAGACUGCUACGGGAGGCAGCAGUGGGGAAUAUUGCACAAUGGGCGCAAGCCUGAUGCAGCGACGCCGCGUGAGGGAUGGAGGCCUUCGGGUUGUGAACCUCUUUCGCCAGUGAAGCAGGCCUGUCCCUUGUGGGUGGGUUGACGGUAGCUGGAUAAGAAGCGCCGGCUAACUACGUG
Molecule: ribosomal RNA, 489 nt
Filed under: uncultured bacterium
Lineage: Bacteria
Description: partial 16S ribosomal RNA
Rfam family: Bacterial small subunit ribosomal RNA
Source: RNAcentral